UGAGUUGGCUGGGCGAUCGCGGCCGCCCCAUAGGGGUGGGUGAGGAACGUCCGGACUCCAUCGGACACGGUGGUGGCUAACGGCCACCCGGGGUGACCCGCGGGCUAGUGCCACAGAGAAUAGACCGCCACUGCGCUUAGCGUGGUGGUAAGGGUGAAACGGUGGUGUAAGAGACCACCAGCAACCUGGGUGACUAGGUUGGCUAGGUAAACCCCACCGGGAGCAAGACCAAGCAGUGUGCGCUGGCGGUUUGCCAGCAGCGGUGGUCCAUCGCCAUGCAUACGGGUAGGUUGCUUGAGGCUUUAGGGCCCUAGAUAGAUGGUCGCACAGGGAUGUAGCGGUAACGCUCGCCUGGACAGAAUCCGGCUUAUAGGCCAACUCAUCCG
RNAcentral lists this RNase P RNA (386 nucleotides) under Actinomycetaceae bacterium. RNAcentral describes it as "RNase P RNA component class A". It matches the Rfam family "Bacterial RNase P class A". From Rfam's summary of the family: Ribonuclease P (RNase P) is a ubiquitous endoribonuclease, found in archaea, bacteria and eukarya as well as chloroplasts and mitochondria. Its best characterised activity is the generation of mature 5'-ends of tRNAs by cleaving the 5'-leader elements of precursor-tRNAs. The record is from RNAcentral. Lineage: Bacteria; Bacillati; Actinomycetota; Actinomycetes; Actinomycetales; Actinomycetaceae.